AAAAACAACAGCAGAGGGUCACCAACAGGUCUUCAAUGUAGCGAGAAAUUCCCGCACCCCGAGGCGUCCUUCAGCUGGCCCCUAAACAAAUAUAUACUAGUCCAGUGAUAAUGAACGCCAUACUAAUUUCCAAAUUGUACACAAGAAACUAAAAUUAAAAUAAUACAAGACUAACAAAGGCCAGAGGCUCCUGACUUGGGACAGGCGCAAAAAUGCGGCGGGGUUAAACAUGUUUGUGAGAUCUCAACCCCCCCCCCC
This 258-nucleotide long non-coding RNA is filed under the name Mytilus galloprovincialis (Mediterranean mussel). Lineage: Eukaryota; Metazoa; Mollusca; Bivalvia; Mytilida; Mytilidae. The record is from RNAcentral.